RNAcentral lists this transfer RNA (76 nucleotides) under Providencia sp. RNAcentral describes it as "tRNA-Asn". It matches the Rfam family "tRNA". From Rfam's summary of the family: Transfer RNA (tRNA) molecules are approximately 80 nucleotides in length. Their secondary structure includes four short double-helical elements and three loops (D, anti-codon, and T loops). Lineage: Bacteria; Pseudomonadati; Pseudomonadota; Gammaproteobacteria; Enterobacterales; Morganellaceae. RNAcentral also lists the same sequence under 2 other names. The record is from RNAcentral.
UCCUCCAUAGUUCAGUUGGUAGAACGGCGGACUGUUAAUCCGUAUGUCGCUGGUUCGAGUCCAGCUGGAGGAGCCA